This 516-nucleotide ribosomal RNA is filed under the name uncultured bacterium. RNAcentral describes it as "bacterial SSU rRNA". It matches the Rfam family "Bacterial small subunit ribosomal RNA", at positions 32 to 507 of the family's 1533-position model. The record is from RNAcentral.
GACGCUGGCGGCGUGCCUAAUACAUGCAAGUCGAACGCACUCUCGUUUAGAUUGAAGGAGCUUGCUCCUGAUUGAUAAACAUUUGAGUGAGUGGCGGACGGGUGAGUAACACGUGGGUAACCUGCCCUAAAGUGGGGUAUAACAUUUGGAAACAGAUGCUAAUACCGCAUAAAACCUAACACCGCAUGGUGUAGGGUUGAAAGAUGGUUUCGGCUAUCACUUUAGGAUGGACCCGCGGUGCAUUAGUUAGUUGGUGAGGUAAAGGCUCACCAAGACCGUGAUGCAUAGCCGACCUGAGAGGGUAAUCGGCCACACUGGGACUGAGACACGGCCCAGACUCCUACGGGAGGCAGCAGUAGGGAAUCUUCCACAAUGGACGAAAGUCUGAUGGAGCAACGCCGCGUGAGUGAAGAAGGUUUUCGGAUCGUAAAACUCUGUUGUUGGAGAAGAAUGUAUUUGAUAGUAACUGAUCAGGUAGUGACGGUAUCCAACCAGAAAGCCACGGCUAACUACGUG